RNAcentral lists this ribosomal RNA (327 nucleotides) under uncultured bacterium. Its description in RNAcentral is "bacterial SSU rRNA". It matches the Rfam family "Bacterial small subunit ribosomal RNA", at positions 30 to 355 of the family's 1533-position model. The record is from RNAcentral.
AUUGAACGCUGGCGGCAUGCCUUACACAUGCAAGUCGAACGGCAGCACGGGAGCAAUCCUGGUGGCGAGUGGCGAACGGGUGAGUAAUAUAUCGGAACGUGCCCGGUCGUGGGGAUAACGUAGCGAAAGCUACGCUAAUACCGCAUACGAUCUACGGAUGAAAGCGGGGGAUCGCAAGACCUCGCGCGAUUGGAGCGGCCGAUAUCAGAUUAGGGUAGUUGGUGAGGUAAAGGCUCACCAAGCCGACGAUCUGUAGCUGGUCUGGAGAGGACGACCAGCCCACACUGGGACUGAGACACGGACCAGACUCCUACGGGAGGCAGCAGU